Molecule: ribosomal RNA, 254 nt
Filed under: uncultured bacterium
Lineage: Bacteria
Description: partial 16S ribosomal RNA
Rfam family: Bacterial small subunit ribosomal RNA
Source: RNAcentral
UACGUAGGGUGCGAGCGUUAAUCGGAAUUACUGGGCGUAAAGCGUGCGCAGGCGGUGAUGUAAGACAGGCGUGAAAUCCCCGGGCUUAACCCUGGGAACUGCAUUUGUGACUGCAUCGCUGGAGUGCGGCAGAGGGGGAUGGAAUUCCGCGUGUAGCAGUGAAAUGCGUAGAUAUGCGGAGGAACACCGAUGGCGAAGGCAAUCCCCUGGGCCUGCACUGACGCUCAUGCACGAAAGCGUGGGGAGCAAACAGG